UACGGAGGGGGCAAGCGUUGUUCGGAAUUAUUGGGCGUAAAGGGCAUGUAGGCGGUUCGGUAAGUUAAAGGUGAAAUGCCAGGGCUUAACCCUGGAGCUGCUUUUAAUACUGCCAGACUCGAGUCCGGAAGAGGAUAGCGGAAUUCCUAGUGUAGAGGUGAAAUUCGUAGAUAUUAGGAGGAACACCAGUGGCGAAGGCGGCUGUCUGGUCCGGUACUGACGCUGAGGUGCGAAAGCG
RNAcentral lists this ribosomal RNA (238 nucleotides) under uncultured Anaplasma sp. RNAcentral describes it as "partial 16S ribosomal RNA". It matches the Rfam family "Bacterial small subunit ribosomal RNA", at positions 524 to 761 of the family's 1533-position model. Lineage: Bacteria; Pseudomonadati; Pseudomonadota; Alphaproteobacteria; Rickettsiales; Anaplasmataceae. The record is from RNAcentral.